AUGUAUUUUGUUGCUAUGUUUGGGUGCAGUAGCAUGUUGUUCUUGUUGCAUUUAGAUGGCUACUUGCUGUUAAUCGCAGACCGGUGUCAUAUUUGUUUUGCUUGCCAUUUCCAAACCGUGCAUCUGAUUCCGGCGAUCUUUAUAUCGAUUUCGACCGAAAUCACCUCACCUUUCCAGUGGCACUCUUGGAUUUCCAAGUUGAGGCCAGGUUCAAUCAUUCCUUUUCAAAUCAUGCAUAAGCAUCACAUAUCGCAUCCCGCAUAUCAUGCCAUGUCCAUGUGUGGUUUGUUUACUAUGUUGUGUGUUUCUUUCCGGUGUUGCUUCUUCGGGUUGGUUCCGAUAACAUCGUGUUUGUGA
Molecule: ribosomal RNA, 357 nt
Filed under: Triticum aestivum (bread wheat)
Lineage: Eukaryota; Viridiplantae; Streptophyta; Magnoliopsida; Poales; Poaceae
Description: partial small subunit ribosomal RNA
Source: RNAcentral